GAUGAAGAACGCAGCGAAAUGCGAUAAGUAAUGUGAAUUGCAGAAUUCAGUGGAUCAUCGAAUCUUUGAACGCACCUUGCGCUCUUUGGUAUUCCGAAGAGCAUGCCUGUUUGAGUGUCAUGAAAAUAUCAACCUUGACUUGGGUUUUGUGCUCUAGUCUCGGCUUGGAAUUGGGUGCUUGCCGCUUUUACGAGCGGCUCACCUUAAAUGUAUUAGCUGGAUCUGUCUUUGAGACUUGGUUUGACUUGGCGUAAUAAGUAUUUCGCUAAGGACAUUCUUCGGAGUGGCCUCGUUUCUAGGACGCUUGUCCGCUUUCCAAUACAAGUUCCACCUCGUGGACAUGACUUUUUAUUAUCUGGCCUCAAAUCAGGUAGGACUACCCGCUGAACUUAAGCAUAUCAAUAAGCGGAGGA
This 413-nucleotide unclassified non-coding RNA is filed under the name soil metagenome. RNAcentral's name for it is "partial contains 5.8S ribosomal RNA, internal transcribed spacer 2, and large subunit ribosomal RNA". The stretch from base 1 to 120 matches the Rfam family "5.8S ribosomal RNA", at positions 35 to 154 of the family's 154-position model. The record is from RNAcentral.